This 117-nucleotide transfer RNA is filed under the name Flavobacterium sp. RNAcentral describes it as "tRNA-OTHER". It matches the Rfam family "tRNA". Rfam says of the family: Transfer RNA (tRNA) molecules are approximately 80 nucleotides in length. Their secondary structure includes four short double-helical elements and three loops (D, anti-codon, and T loops). Lineage: Bacteria; Pseudomonadati; Bacteroidota; Flavobacteriia; Flavobacteriales; Flavobacteriaceae. The record is from RNAcentral. RNAcentral also lists the same sequence under 1 other name.
GGGGCAGUAGCUCAGUGGUAGAGCAGGUCAGUUUUUGAAUUAUCUGAAAAGGUCAACAAAAACUUACUUCUUACACUUUUGAUGUCCAUGUCGCGGGUUCGAAUCCCGCCUGCUCCA